AACCAAACCGCUUACCAUGGUUAAACCAUUUGUAUAAACAAUUUACAAAAAAAUUACCACGCACUUACCGCGGUAACUUUUUACCCACCUAUGCUAGCUGGGUAACUGCAUUUUAACCACAACAAACAUGGCGGACGUUCAUAUGGUCAGGCAUCGUAGACCUCGACUUUUUCGACGAGUCGACAGACAGGAGACGGACUUAAUGGACGACGAAGUGCGCCGAAGGUAUAGGUUUUCGACGGACAACAUUGACCGACUUGUUGGACUGUUGGAGCAAACAUUACGAAGACGGACGCGACGAAACCAGGCACUGACCAUUCGACAACGGAUCAUGUUGACUUUGAGGUUUCUCGCUUCCGGGGCUUUUCUCCAGAUAAUAGGAGACACCUUCGGCGUGGACAUUGCAACUGUGUCCCGAAUUGUGACCGACGUGACGAACAGCUUGUUUGCACUUAAGGAUAUGGUGAUAAGGUUUCCCGUGACUGACGCUGACAGACGACGAGUGAUGACGGGUUUCUUUGAAAUGAGAGGGUUUCCGGGCGAAAUAGGCUGUGUCGACGGCACACACGUCCGUAUCAUUUCUCCCGGUGGUCCAGAUGAGCCUUUCUUUGUGAAUCGGAAAGGGUGUCAUUCCCUCAACGUUCAGGCAACUUGUGACCACAAAGGUAAGUCCCCUCUACAGGUUUGGCCUUUUAAAUGCCCAUGUAAUCCGGUACUGUAACAUUACAGUACUGUACGUAUUUUCAUCACUUUAGUCCGGUAUAUCUUAAUAUAAAGAAGUGAAACUCCAGCUGCUGGAGCAGUAUUGAAUUUUCAUUAAAAACAAUUAGUUGGUCCUUUAUUUAAGGCAAGUGACCGAUUGCCCAAACAGUACAAAACAGCACAAUACAGCACAAUACAAACCAACAUAAACCAACAUAGACACAAAAUAUGAAUAAAGCUGGGGUCACCGCCUUGGAACGGUCAAUGCAAAGCAUUGGGGGUUUAAACCUGGUUAUAGAGCGCUCAACCUCACACUUGGCCCAGCAAUAUUCAUAAUACAUUUAAGUGCAAAUAAAAUUUAACGUCAUAGCAUUGUAACUCAAAUUAAACAAUAAUAAAAGGGAAUUAAAACGCAUUCAAUUUAAUUACUCAAUUGCAUUGAAGAUACAAGAGUAACAGAAUUACAACUUUUUGACGAACGAAACAUUAACUCUUAAGGAAAAACAGUUUGUUCAACUUUUUUAAUUCUAAAUCCCCUUUAAGUAUGAAUGAGCAUUUAAAGAGAACUAAAGAUCUACAUAAGUAUAGACAGGAGUCAAAUUUCUGUGUGCCUCAAGUUAAUGGUAUUACUACAUGCACAUUCUACUGAAAUGGCAUUUUGGACUGGAAUGCUCUGCCAUAAGAUGGAUCAUGUUUCACAGCUUUCAUGCUUGAUUGUGAAUAUCUCUUUAAUGUUAAUCAAUGUACUGAAUUUUUAUUCACAGGAAUGUUUACAAGUGGGAAUGCAUGUUGGCCUGGAUGCUGCCAUGACUCCCACAUCUUACGAAUGUCCAAGCUUGGACAGCAUAUGGCCAAUCACCAUCAAGAUCCUGAACGUGGAUAUCUUUUAGGAGAUAGUGGGUACCCUUGCAGGCCUUUCCUGCUGACACCGUUCCUUCAGCCAGAGUCAGAAGCUCAGGAAAGGUACAAUGCUGCGCACAUCGGCACCAGGAACAGUAUUGAAAAGGGCCUUUGGGGUUUUGAAGAGAACCUUUCAUGUCCUCCAUGGUGAGGAAGGCUUCAAAUGCGUUAACUGGUCGUUCAUGGAAGCUGGCCACGGAAAAGGUGCCCCUGUUGGGGAUUGUGGCAGUCAUCAAAAGAGCUGCUGAUGGGGCCGUGCUGCAUGGCGAGGACAUUGUAAACGCAGUAUCUAUGUAUGACACACUUACUAAGAAGGGCAUUGCUCCGCACCUGUUUCUUAUAACGGAUGACCAGUUUUAGGAACAAGAAAAAACUGCACCUAAAGAUUUACAGGCGAUAUUUACUAGAGAGCCAGGUCGGUUCAAGUUUAGAGAUGUCAGCUGUUUCUGUAGUUUUCCCGGUGAUUGUGACUGUUUUACUCCAAAACAUCACAUGUUUCCUAUCAAUGAACAGAGGGCGAUAGGUGAUCCAUCUGAUACAGUUGCAUCGGCAGACAGCGGAGAGGUUUUGGACUCGCGAGCAUCUAUACACAGAUUUGAACAUUUCGACGAGACAAUGAAGGGCACGUACUGUGUUGUAACUUAUGAUGGAAAACCAUACCCUGGAAUAGUUCAGGACGUUGAUGAUAAUGAGGUAGAAGUCAGCGUUAUGCACUGCAUUGGUCCCAACCGAUUCUUCUGGCCGCGGAUGCAGGAUGUGUUGUGGUACCCAAGUGACCAGUAUAUAACCCAAAUUCCACCACCAUCCAAUAUUGGAAGUCGGCAUCAACAGAUUGAGCCAGCCAUAUGGGAACAAAUAAAAGACGCUCUGAACUUGUAAAACAUAUAAAGGAUCUUAAAUGAGUGUGCUCUAGACUUGUAAAACAUAUAGAGGAUAUUGAAUGAGUGCAAGUUUCACAGACAAUUAAUUGAAUGAGUUUGAUAAAAUCAUAUUAUGCGAGCCUCUGGCUAGCAAAAUAUUAUUUUAUUCAACGAGUUCAAUAAAUUUAGUAUAAAACUUACACGAAUUUAAUGUUCUAAAACAUGUGUUCAUGAUUAUAAAAUACAUAUAUGAGUUCUUAUUUGUUUGUUAAAAAUAGUUGUUUGUUCUAUUGUUUCAGACUUAAAAUUACGGAAUACAGAAUGCACAUUUUUAUUAUAAAUUGGUUUAAACAAACAUAGUAAACAUUUAUGAUGUAAAACUAUUGACCGACAAUAUGAUAUCGGACAUAGAGGAUAUUACAUGAUUGUCUUUUGAUAUUGAAUUUAUUAAACGAGUUGGAUACAAUGAAAAAUUAAGAGGCUCUGCUGAGCAUUUUAUCAUUUUAUUGAAUGAGUUUAUUAAAUUCAAUGUCAUAGAAUAAGAUCUGUUUUAUCAAUAAAAAGAUAGAAGCUAGCACCUAUUAAUUAGAUUUUCAUACAUCUUUGCAGUGGAGUUCUUGGAGAAUAUUCGAUUGGGCUUCAUUAACGUAUUUUAACUCCUUUAAAGACAUGCUUCAUGCAUGUUCACUACCGUAACAACCGGUCACCACCGUAACAUUAACUUCACUACCGUAACAGCAUCAUUUCCCCUUAAUAGUGACAAAUGAUUAAAUACAACACCUCGGAAAGUAAUUGACUUCAAUUAACAAAGUCAUAUGUAAGUAUAUGCCAAAGUAUGACAUGUGCUUUGAAAUAUAUGGAAUUUUUAAGAAAAUUAUAAAGACAGACUUUUUCACCAAUUUUACAUUGCUGUCAUUAAAUGGUAAGAUUUUCCAUAUUUAUUAAUAAUCUGGUUGAAUAUAAGGUAUAGAUAAAAACUACUUUAGGCGUUUAUUCAACAGAAAUCAAACAUCAACAUGAAAAGUAUUAUUAUUGCAAAUAAAUACGAAUUAUAAUUAAUGUUACGGUAGUGAAAAAAUGUAAACAUUAAUGUGAAUUUAUUUGAGUGUCAGCAAUAAAUAUUGAAAUGUUA
Long non-coding RNA from Dreissena polymorpha, 3594 nucleotides. RefSeq lists it as uncharacterized. NCBI's taxonomy places the organism in Eukaryota, Metazoa, Mollusca, Bivalvia, Myida, Dreissenidae. The transcript is spliced from 7 exons. The record is from RefSeq and is a predicted model, not a curated record.